UGGGGAAUUUUGGACAAUGGGCGAAAGCCUGAUCCAGCAAUGCCGCGUGUGUGAAGAAGGCCUUCGGGUUGUAAAGCACUUUUGUCCGGAAAGAAAUCCUUGGCUCUAAUACAGUCGGGGGAUGACGGUACCGGAAGAAUAAGCACCGGCUAACUACGUGCCAGCAGCCGCGGUAAUACGUAGGGUGCAAGCGUUAAUCGGAAUUACUGGGCGUAAAGCGUGCGCAGGCGGUUUGCUAAGACCGAUGUGAAAUCCCCGGGCUCAACCUGGGAACUGCAUUGGUGACUGGCAGGCUAGAGUAUGGCAGAGGGGGGUAGAAUUCCACGUGUAGCAGUGAAAUGCGUAGAGACGUGGAGGAAUACCGAUGGCGAAGGCAGCCCCCUGGGCCAAUACUGACGCUCAUGCACGAAAGCGUGGGGAGCAAACAGGAUUAGAUACCCUGGUAGUCCACGCCCUAAACGAUGUCAACUAGUUGUUGGGGAUUCAUUUCCUUAGUAACGUAGCUAACGCGUGAAGUUGACCGCCUGGGGAGUACGGUCGCAAGAUUAAAACUUAAAUGAAUUGACGGGGUCAUAGCUGUUUCCU
RNAcentral lists this ribosomal RNA (585 nucleotides) under uncultured bacterium. Its description in RNAcentral is "partial 16S ribosomal RNA". It matches the Rfam family "Bacterial small subunit ribosomal RNA", at positions 355 to 1375 of the family's 1533-position model. The record is from RNAcentral.